AACGAACGCUGGCGGCAUGCCUAACACAUGCAAGUCGAACGAGACCUUCGGGUCUAGUGGCGCACGGGUGCGUAACACGUGGGAAUUUGCCUCGGGGUAUGGAAUAACUCAGGGAAACUUGAGCCUAAUACCAUAUAAUGUCUUCGGACCAAAGAUUUAUCGCCCUGAGAUAAGCCCGCGUAGGAUUAGCUAGUUGGUGGGGUAAAGGCUCACCAAGGCGACGAUCCUUAGCUGGUCUGAGAGGAUGAUCAGCCACACUGGGACUGAGACACGGCCCAGACUCCUACGGGAGGCAGCAGUGGGGAAUAAUUUGGGACAAAUGGGCGAAAGCCUGAUCCAGCAAUGCCGCGUGAGUGAUGAA
Molecule: ribosomal RNA, 361 nt
Filed under: uncultured bacterium
Lineage: Bacteria
Description: bacterial SSU rRNA
Rfam family: Bacterial small subunit ribosomal RNA
Source: RNAcentral